This is a long non-coding RNA of Camelina sativa (false flax), 938 nucleotides long. RefSeq lists it as uncharacterized. NCBI's taxonomy places the organism in Eukaryota, Viridiplantae, Streptophyta, Magnoliopsida, Brassicales, Brassicaceae. The record is from RefSeq and is a predicted model, not a curated record.
UUCUUUCUUGUAAGUUUUUUUAAUUUGGUAAGAGUGACUUCUUAAAUUUGACAACGAAGUAAUUGAGUUGAGGAAUAACAGACUCCUAUUUUAUUUGCGAUAACUGGAUUUUAUUUGUGAGAACUGUAUACAACAGACUUAAUACCAGACUCCUAUUUUAUUUCUGAUCUAUGACUGUUCUCCCUAAUCUCAAUUCUAUUGUAAACUCGAUUUGGUUUAUAUCACAACCGAUUUGACAAUUCAGUUUUGAUUUCAAUUUUUUUGCAGUUUUAUUCAAGUAUUUAGUCUCUGAUUAUAAGUGCUAUUUUCUUCAGUUUCUUUAGUUAUCUUCGGUUUGGAAAUGAAAUAUUUCAGUCUAUUUGUUCUAUUGCUAACUCUAUGUAUUUCUUGUUUUUAGUUAUGUGAUUGUUGGACAUAUUGUGAACCAAAAGUUUGAUAUAAAGUUGAUAUUAGAGUAGACAUGCCAGUGACAUUGCAGCUUCAUUCCAUCUCUAAGACAUUAUCAAGCAGUGAAUAUCGUUUCCAGAGAAGUUAAAGAAGCAAAGGAAGUGAAGAAAGAUGAUAAGAAUGAGAAUAUUGUAUGAGUACUGCCAUGAUGCAUCGGUAUUCCAUAUUCGAUAACGAGAAAUACAUAAAUGAUAAGUAAAGAGAGUUGGUGAACCUGAUGAACGUGUUGAUUAUUAGUUUCAGCCAUUACAACAAUGUGGAUGGAGAAAUGAUUUCCUAGCUAAGGUGUAGGAAAACGAGAACAACAGCAUCAAAAUAUUACAAGAGGAGGAAACAAAAUUCAAGGCAUUUAGAGGCUCAUAAUUCAAGGCAUUUUUUAAGUAUAAAGAGUAUUCUAUGUAUGAUCUUGAUCUUAAAAUUAUUUGAUUCCGUACGAUGUACGGGUGUAACACUAGAGUAAUAAGCUUGAAUUUGUUACCAUUAAAUUUUUU